RNA transcript from Vigna angularis (adzuki bean), 3055 nucleotides. It is a transcript of the gene named peroxisome biogenesis protein 5, with no coding region annotated. The transcript is spliced from 17 exons. The record is from RefSeq and is a predicted model, not a curated record. Lineage: Eukaryota; Viridiplantae; Streptophyta; Magnoliopsida; Fabales; Fabaceae.
GAGAUAACAAAACAGCGUAACCCACGAGGGUGGGGAAGAAGGAAAAAAAACACCACACCAACCAAACCAUCAGAACAGGCACCGCCGAUCGGAAGAAGAAAAGUGGCAGAAGGGUGAGAACUGCAACGGUGGGCCAUGGCGAUGCGCGACCUCGUUUCGGGUGCUGCCGCUUGCGGUGACUCUUCUUCUUCCUCCGCUAAUCCUCUUGCCUCUCUAGCCAACGCUCUUGUUGGCUCUUCCUCCAAAACUCAGGAGAGGCUGAAGGAGAUUCCGACGUCCACUCCUACUGACCCUACCUCUCAAUUUUACUCCACUGCUCUUCCCGUCAAUCAUCUUCCCGGCUCCGAAUUCGAUAAGCCUCUAUUGGAUGCAAACUCUCAGGCUUCGGAGUUUUUGCAUAGGUUCCGUGGCGCGAAUGGGAUGGAAGAGACGUGGGAUGAGAUACAGCGUGAGGCCGGGGUUGCCGGACCGCGGCAACUGGUGCCGGCGAUUCAACAGCAGCUAUUGGAUGGGACACCACAAAGAGUUCUAUCGAGUUUUUUGCACUCAUUUCUUGAUAGCAGCCGUGGUGGAGUGCCUUUUCAUCCUACCCCUCUUCCGAUGCUGGGUUUAUCUGAAGGUGAUAAACAAUGCAUACGAGACCGUAGCAGCAUAAUGGCCAGACAUCUUUUUGCAGAUAAAAGUGAAGAAUUUAUUGAUGCACAAGUAAAUGCACUUCUAUGCUCUCUAGAUAUUGAUAGCAAUGUCCGUGGUAAGGGACCUAUGCCUGAAAGAUUUCGGGAGCUUGAGGAUUACUGGAAUGAAUCUCAAGGCAAUAUGAGACCUGGUCCUCCUGCUGCAGACGGGUGGAUUACUGAAUUUAGUCAACAUAGGGGAAAAUAUGAUAAUCCUGAUUCAUGGGCUAACUCCUUUGAGCAACAACAUGGUGCAAAUGGUUGGGCGUCUGAAUUUGAACACUCCCAAUUGUCAUCAGUAGGUCAAAUGCAAGGUAUGAACAUGUCAAACUUUGCUGCAAUGGAACAGACUCGUAUGCUUGCAAAUACAUUGGCCCAAAAUGGUGAUCCUAAAUUUCAGAACUCAAAAUUCCUUCAAUUUGUGUCGAAGAUGAGCCGUGGUGAGUUAAUUAUUGAUGACAAUCAGGUCAAAGAGAAUUCAUUACCUGCAUCUGGAGAUUGGGCAACAGAAUAUGAUCAACAAUAUAAUCGUGGUCAUGCAUGGGCUGGAGAAUAUUUAAAUGAUAAGGUUUAUCAUGGACCUGAUCAAUGGGUGAAUGAAUAUGCAACUGAAGGACGACAGCAUGAUACAACUGAUGAUCAGUGGGUUAAUGAAUUUUCAAAGUUGAAUGUUAAUGAUUGGGCAGAUGAAUUUGGUCAGCAGUUAGGUGAAGCAGCCUUAGGAGACAGAACUUCUGAUAGUUGGGCACAAGCAUAUGAUGAGUUCCUAAAUGAGCAAGUUGCUUCCAAGCAGCAGUUAGACAGUUCGAGGGGUGUGUAUGUCUUUUCAGAUUUAAACCCUUAUGUUGGCCAUCCAAAUCCCCUAAAAGAAGGCCAAGAUCUAUUCAGAAAAGGACUUUUAAGUGAAGCAGUUCUAGCAUUGGAAGCGGAAGUCAUAAAAAAUCCUGAAAAUGCUGAAGGAUGGAGACUGCUUGGAAUAGCACAUGCAGAGAAUGAUGAUGAUCAACAGGCUAUUGCAGCAAUGAUGCGUGCACAGGAGGCUGACCCGACAAACUUGGAGGUGCUUCUUGCUCUUGGUGUUAGUCAUACAAAUGAACUAGAGCAAACAUCUGCACUGAAGUAUCUAUAUGGAUGGUUGCGGCAUCACCCAAAAUAUGGAACACUUGCCCCGCCUGAGAUGUCUGAUUCUUUGUACUAUGCUGAUGUUGCUAGGUUAUUCAAUGAAGCUGCUGAACUGUCUCCGGAUGAUGCAGAUGUCCACAUAGUUCUUGGGGUCAUGUAUAACUUAUCCAGAGAAUAUGACAAAGCUAUUGCAUCUUUUGAAAGAGCACUGAAACUUAAGCCACAGGAUUACUCAUUAUGGAACAAACUGGGUGCUACACAAGCAAAUAGUAUUCAAAGUGCUGAUGCAAUAAUGGCUUACCAACAGGCACUGGAUUUAAAGCCUAACUAUGUUCGUGCUUGGGCAAAUAUGGGUAUCAGUUAUGCAAACCAGGGUAUGUAUGACGAGUCCAUUCGAUAUUAUGUUCGAGCACUUGCCAUGAAUCCAAAAGCAGAGAAUGCAUGGCAAUAUUUGAGAAUUUCAUUAAGCUGUGCUUCUAGGAAUGACAUGUUGGAAGCUUGUGAUAGUCGUAAUUUGGACCUUCUCCAGAAGGAGUUUCCUCUACAGUAAGGGAGGGACUCUUCUACUGUCGAGGUGGUUGCUUGAACAUGAAUCCCAAUUUUCCUUAAUACUUUUGGAUGAGUAAAUGGUACAUUUUCUGACAUUAAAGCUCGCAGUAGAUGUCUGCUUCCGUAGAUAUUUCUAGAAGAAUUGAAAGGCGAUCAAGUGACUAAGCCUGCAGCACUCAAGGUUUAGCAUUGUUUGGAUAAUCUUGUAUAUCAGUACUUGUACAACAAAAAAAGUUGUGUUCCUCUGGUGAUGUCAGCAUGUGGAUUACUCAAAUGUCUUUUCGCUUAGUGAAAGACCAAAGCUGCACAUACUCGAUGUCUUUUGUCAUUGUUAAAGGCUAAAUCUUCAUACCAAAUCUAUCAUGUAAGGUAUGUUGAUGUUCUUUAUGUUGGUUGUCACGAGUGUAAGACAACUCUUAUUCUUUAUUAAGGUUUGGAGGACCAACUACGAUAACAAUGGCGGAGUUAAUGAAGAAGAAAAUAAUGAGGAAUAUCUAUUAGGGGUCAUGGAUCAUGGAUGGGGUCUUAAUUCUGUGCACUGUUCCUAAAAGUAAUCGAUAUAUAUUUUUAAGGAACCAAUAUUUGGUGGUUCACAAGACAGAACAAUUCUUUGUUUUUUUCAGAACAAAUUGAUUUCUCUCUCUCUCUAAAUAUAUAUAUGUGCAUGUGUGUAGAAUACAUAUCUUUAUCUAUAAAUGAAGCUUAGCAUA